RNAcentral lists this ribosomal RNA (467 nucleotides) under uncultured bacterium. Its description in RNAcentral is "bacterial SSU rRNA". It matches the Rfam family "Bacterial small subunit ribosomal RNA", at positions 355 to 825 of the family's 1533-position model. The record is from RNAcentral.
UGGGGAAUUUUGGACAAUGGGGGCAACCCUGAUCCAGCCAUGCCGCGUGCAGGAAGAAGGCCCUAUGGGUCGUAAACUGCUUUUGAACAAGAGAAAACCCCGGUACGUGUACUGGGUUGAUAGUAUUGUUAGAAUAAGCAUCGGCUAACUUCGUGCCAGCAGCCGCGGUAAGACGAAGGAUGCAAGCGUUAUCCGGAUUCAUUGGGUUUAAAGGGUGCGUAGGCGGACUGAUAAGUCAGUGGUGAAAUCUCUCGGCUUAACCGAGAAACUGCCAUUGAUACUGUUAGUCUAGAGUACAGAUGAUGUGGGCGGAAUAUGACAUGUAGUGGUGAAAUACUUAGAUAUGUCAUAGAACACCGAUUGCGAAGGCAGCUAACGAAACUAUAACUGACGCUGAGGCACGAAAGUGCGGGGAUCAAACAGGAUUAGAUACCCUUGUAGUCCCUGAGCGGGCUGGCAAGGCGCAU